Molecule: ribosomal RNA, 501 nt
Filed under: uncultured bacterium
Lineage: Bacteria
Description: partial 16S ribosomal RNA
Rfam family: Bacterial small subunit ribosomal RNA
Source: RNAcentral
AUUGAACGCUGGCGGCAGGCUUAACACAUGCAAGUCGAGCGGAGAUGAGGUGCUUGCACCUUAUCUUAGCGGCGGACGGGUGAGUAAUGCUUAGGAAUCUGCCAUUUAGUGGGGGACAACAUUCCGAAAGGAAUGCUAAUACCGCAUACGUCCUACGGGAGAAAGCAGGGGAUCUUCGGACCUUGCGCUAAAUGAUGAGCCUAAGUCGGAUUAGCUAGUUGGUGGGGUAAAGGCCUACCAAGGCGACGAUCUGUAGCGGGUCUGAGAGGAUGAUCCGCCACACGGGGACUGAGACACGGCCCAGACUCCUACGGGAGGCAGCAGUGGGGAAUAUUGGACAAUGGGGGGAACCCUGAUCCAGCCAUGCCGCGUGUGUGACGAAGGCCUUUUGGUUGUAAAGCACUUUAAGCGAGGAGGAGGCUACCUGGAUUAAUACUCUGGGAUAGUGGACGUUACUCGCAGAAUAAGCACCGGCUAACUCCGUGCCAGCAGCCGCGGUAA